UGAGUACUCAUGCUCCAUCUGGAUCAGCAAUAGUAGUGGUAGCGGCAGCAGCAUCAGCAGUAGCAGACAUUAUCUUUGAUCUUGUUCAGCCACCUGCUUCAUAGCCACUCUAGAGUGCACCCAUCUAGCCUUCCACUUCCACUCGCCACCUUCUCAACCUCUUAGGACUUACUCUAGAGCAAUUGCAGGAGGUCCCUCUACCCACACUAGGAGUAGGUCUGGUUUCCCCAUCGCUAGGACUAGCUCCUCCACCACCCAUGAGGUCUCAUCCGAUGAGGAUCAGACCUAGUUUAUCCUCUAGGACUUAGUUAUGAUAUUCUUAUUUCUAUGUGUGCUCUAGGACUUAGUUUAUGUUUUCAGUUGUAUGAAGGUAUCAGUGGUGUUUGUACUAUAUGUGUCUCAUUUCUUGUAUAUAGUACAUAAUUCUAUGAUUAUUGUACUUCUUUUCUACAUUAAUGAAUGCCAACUUUUAUA
Molecule: long non-coding RNA, 474 nt
Filed under: Elaeis guineensis (African oil palm)
Lineage: Eukaryota; Viridiplantae; Streptophyta; Magnoliopsida; Arecales; Arecaceae
Description: long non-coding RNA (EGUI_LNC031729)
Source: RNAcentral